RNAcentral lists this ribosomal RNA (546 nucleotides) under uncultured Sordariales. RNAcentral's name for it is "eukaryotic LSU rRNA". The stretch from base 223 to 377 matches the Rfam family "5.8S ribosomal RNA". The record is from RNAcentral. Lineage: Eukaryota; Fungi; Ascomycota; Sordariomycetes; Sordariales.
AGGAAGUAAAAGUCGUAACAAGGUCUCCGUUGGUGAACCAGCGGAGGGAUCAUUACGAGAGUUGAAAAACUCCUAAAACCCAUUGUGAACCUACUUAUAUCGUUGCUUCGGCGGGCAGCCCCAGGGCGGGGCUUCGGCCUUCUAUAGGUGUCCGCCGACGGCUUUUACAAACUCUUCUGUUAUCAUAGGCACUCGGAGUGACGAAGAUACCAAAUGAGUCAAAACUUUCAACAACGGAUCUCUUGGUUCUGGCAUCGAUGAAGAACGCAGCGAAAUGCGAUAAGUAAUGUGAAUUGCAGAAUUUCAGUGAAUCAUCGAAUCUUUGAACGCAUAUUGCGCCCAUUAGCAUUCUAGUGGGCAUGCCUGUCCGAGCGUCAUUUCAACCCUCAGGUUCGUACGCGGCCUGGUGUUGGGGAAUCUGCGGCUGACCGCAGGCCCYAAAAGAGAGUGGCGGUGUCCGUCGGCACUCCGGGCGCAGUGGAUAUCUUUCUCGCCCAGGAUGUCUGGCGGCCGGCCGGCCGUAAAACAGCCUAGUCGCUAUAAGGU